This 253-nucleotide ribosomal RNA is filed under the name uncultured bacterium. RNAcentral describes it as "partial 16S ribosomal RNA". It matches the Rfam family "Bacterial small subunit ribosomal RNA", at positions 524 to 776 of the family's 1533-position model. The record is from RNAcentral.
UACGUAGGGUGCAAGCGUUGUCCGGAAUUAUUGGGCGUAAAGAGCUCGUAGGCGGUCUGUCGCGUCGGAUGUGAAAACCCAGGGCUCAACCCUGGGCCUGCAUUCGAUACGGGCAGACUAGAGUUCGGUAGGGGAGACUGGAAUUCCUGGUGUAGCGGUGAAAUGCGCAGAUAUCAGGAGGAACACCAAUAGCGAAGGCAGCUCGCCGGGACGGUACUGACGCUAAGGCGCGAAAGCGUGGGGAGCAAACAGG